This 433-nucleotide ribosomal RNA is filed under the name uncultured bacterium. Its description in RNAcentral is "partial 16S ribosomal RNA". It matches the Rfam family "Bacterial small subunit ribosomal RNA", at positions 29 to 507 of the family's 1533-position model. The record is from RNAcentral.
AACGAACGCUGGCGGCAUGCCUAACACAUGCAAGUCGAACGAUGCCUCCGGGCAUUUUGGCGCACGUGUGCUUAACGCGUGGGAAUCUGCCCGUGGGUUCGGAAUAACUCGCCGAAAGGCGAGCUAAUACCGGAGGAGGACGUACGGCCAAGGAUUUAUCGCUCCAGGAUGAGCGCGCGUAGGAUUAGCUAGUUGGUGGGGUAAAGGCACACCAAGGCGACGAUCCUUAGCUGGUCUGAGAGUAUGAUCAGCCACACUGGGAAUGAGACACGGCCCAGACUCGUACGGGAGGGAGCAGUGGGGAAUAUUGGACAAUGGGCGAAAGCCUGAUCAAGCCAUGCCGCGGGAGUGAUGAAGGGCUUAGGGUUGUAAAGCUCUUUUACCCGGGAUGAUAAUGACAGUACCGGGAGAAUAAGCACCGGCUAACUCCGUG